Molecule: ribosomal RNA, 508 nt
Filed under: uncultured bacterium
Lineage: Bacteria
Description: partial 16S ribosomal RNA
Rfam family: Bacterial small subunit ribosomal RNA
Source: RNAcentral
AUUGAACGCUGGCGGCAUGCCUUACACAUGCAAGUCGAACGGCAGCGGGGGAGAAGCUUGCUUUUCCUGCCGGCGAGUGGCGAACGGGUGAGUAAUACAUCGGAACGUGCCCUGUAGUGGGGGAUAACUAGUCGAAAGAUUAGCUAAUACCGCAUACGACCUGGGGGUGAAAGUGGGGGACCGCAAGGCCUCAUGCUAUAGGAGCGGCCGAUGUCUGAUUAGCUAGUUGGUGGGGUAAAGGCCUACCAAGGCGACGAUCAGUAGCUGGUCUGGGAGGGCGAUCAGCCACACUGGGACUGAGACACGGCCCAGACUCCUACGGGAGGCAGCAGUGGGGAAUUUUGGACAAUGGGCGAAAGCCUGAUCCAGCAAUGCCGCGUGUGUGAAGAAGGCCUUCGGGUUGUAAAGCACUUUUGUCCGGAAAGAAAUGGCUCUGGUUAAUACCUGGGGUCGAUGACGGUACCGGAAGAAUAAGGACCGGCUAACUACGUGCCAGCCGCCGCCGUAA